This 497-nucleotide ribosomal RNA is filed under the name uncultured bacterium. RNAcentral describes it as "partial 16S ribosomal RNA". It matches the Rfam family "Bacterial small subunit ribosomal RNA", at positions 28 to 507 of the family's 1533-position model. The record is from RNAcentral.
GAUGAACGCUGGCGGCGUGCCUAAUACAUGCAAGUCGAGCGAACAGAUAAGGAGCUUGCUCCUUUGACGUUAGCGGCGGACGGGUGAGUAACACGUGGAUAACCUACCUAUAAGACUGGGAUAACUUCGGGAAACCGGAGCUAAUACCGGAUAACAUAUUGAACCGCAUGGUUCAAUAGUGAAAGGCGGCUUUGCUGUCACUUAUAGAUGGAUCCGCGCCGUAUUAGCUAGUUGGUAAGGUAACGGCUUACCAAGGCAACGAUACGUAGCCGACCUGAGAGGGUGAUCGGCCACACUGGAACUGAGACACGGUCCAGACUCCUACGGGAGGCAGCAGUAGGGAAUCUUCCGCAAUGGGCGAAAGCCUGACGGAGCAACGCCGCGUGAGUGAUGAAGGUCUUCGGAUCGUAAAACUCUGUUAUCAGGGAAGAACAAAUGUGUAAGUAACUGUGCACAUCUUGACGGUACCUGAUCAGAAAGCCACGGCUAACUACAUG